Ornithorhynchus anatinus (platypus) is the source of this 138-nucleotide non-coding RNA. NCBI's taxonomy places the organism in Eukaryota, Metazoa, Chordata, Mammalia, Monotremata, Ornithorhynchidae. The record is from Rfam.
CCCCUCUCAGGAUCACCCCUGUAGAGUUUCCAGUACUCUAUCAGUCUCGGCUAUGGGAGGGAAAGUCAAGCAGAGGUCUGUCCAUUCCAUUCCUAGCUUGGCCAGUGGCUAGCAAGUGGAAGACGAUCUGCUACAAGU